This 77-nucleotide transfer RNA is filed under the name Alloscardovia omnicolens. Its description in RNAcentral is "tRNA-Met". It matches the Rfam family "tRNA". Rfam says of the family: Transfer RNA (tRNA) molecules are approximately 80 nucleotides in length. The record is from RNAcentral. RNAcentral also lists the same sequence under 1 other name. Lineage: Bacteria; Bacillati; Actinomycetota; Actinomycetes; Bifidobacteriales; Bifidobacteriaceae.
GGGGCCAUAGCUCAGUCGGUUAGAGCAAGCGACUCAUAAUCGUUGUGUCCAGGGUUCAAGUCCCUGUGGCCCUACCA